RNAcentral lists this unclassified non-coding RNA (400 nucleotides) under fungal sp. RNAcentral's name for it is "partial internal transcribed spacer region". The stretch from base 1 to 46 matches the Rfam family "Eukaryotic small subunit ribosomal RNA", at positions 1786 to 1831 of the family's 1831-position model. Lineage: Eukaryota; Fungi. The record is from RNAcentral.
AAGUCGUAACAAGGUUUCCGUAGGUGAACCUGCGGAAGGAUCAUUAACACGUUAUCCACGUAUCACCAUUGAGAACCGUUUCAUCUAACCUCUGUGUGGGAAUGAACAGCAACACGAUAUAUAGAGUGAUUGGUCGGGACUGCCUCACGGCGUCAGGCUCUAUUUUGUUACUCACAUCGCAAGGUGUGUACUGUUGUAUCCUUCACAGUUGGCCCCCUCUCAGCGCGCAACUCUCCUUCCAUGAAGUGAGCGCUGGGAAACGUAUCUAUAACCAUUCUAACCCCUUUUUGCUAGUUGACUUUUAUAUGUUGCUGCUUCUUUGCUUCGGCAAGGUUUCUGCACACGUUUAAUUAUUUGAACGUUAAAAAUACAACUCUUAGCAAUGGAUAUCUAGGUUCUC